Molecule: long non-coding RNA, 1212 nt
Filed under: Monodelphis domestica (gray short-tailed opossum)
Lineage: Eukaryota; Metazoa; Chordata; Mammalia; Didelphimorphia; Didelphidae
Description: lncRNA (ENSMODG00000050062.1)
Source: RNAcentral
UGGUGAAGAUAUUCAAGAAGGAAGACUACAUGAUGACUGCAUUGAAUAGGCUAUCAGCUUACUAUGCUCAAAGGCGAAACAUUAACUCUAGAUCUCAUAAAAUUAGACAAAGUAUGGCUCAGAGGAUGGAGGUUGCUGACUGGAGAACAAGACCUGCUGAUUGGAAAAUUGUGAAGAUUUUCCAUCUUUCCCUCUUUGUACAAAUACAUUGACCUCCCUUGGGAUUAAAUAACCUGAUAGUUUCCCUUUAAUGUUGCAGUCAAAAAGAACCCUGAAAUUUCAGGAGACCUAUAUCUAAAACCCAACUCUAAUAUUAACUAGCUAGCUGACCAUAGCUAAGUCAUUUUAUCCCUAAAUGUGUAUGUGAAUGGUUAAAACCACAGAUAUAAAAGGAUAACUGCUGACCAUAUAUAUUCAUUUUUCUUGUCCACACAUAUAUAAUGAUGUUUAAUUGAUAAAUACAUAGCAAGACAUUACCAACAUUAAAUACAGUAAUAAUAAUGUGCAUUGCACAUUAUUUUACGAUACUAUACAGUAAUCCCCUUGUGGGUGCCUAAAACUAUGGACAGUUCUUGCUUUAACUUUUAACACCUAUGUUACCUAUGUUAACUGGGUUCUCUCCCUGCUCUUGCCUUUCAGCUCAUUGCUCAGCAGCUUCCCACACCACCUUCCCUAAAAUUGCUAAAAAUAAUCCCUCCAAGUCAAAGUAGAAAAACUAUCAGUCUCUACUGGACAGUCCAGUCUGGUGGAAGGACCUCCAAGCAAAGAGAGGAGACCUUUGCCUCACACCACCCACCUCUCCACCAGUCUGUCCAAGUGUAUCCAUCUUCCAUCUAUCUACAUUUGGGUCCAGCCCUCCACAUGUCCCUGAAUACAUACAGGCUCCCUCUCUCAUCCAAUUACCCUUUGCUGCUUCCCCCCUUCCCCUGGAAUGACCAUGGGUAACUGAAACCAAGGAGUCAAAUUGCAGAUAAGGGGGAUUACUCUGUCUGUGUGUAUAUAUGCAUGUGUACCUUCCCUUUUCAUCCUUUUUUCCUUCUAGAGCUUAUUUUGCUUUCUGUAUUGCCAUUUGUUUUUAAAAGAAACCUUUUCUCUGAAAUAUUUGUUUGUACGUAUCCCUGAGUAAUUACAUGAAUCUGAAACUGAAGCCAUGGAGAAAGAGACAGAGACAGAUGGACAGACAGAAUGUGGUGAGGAGAGAAAUGGGAGGGA